GAUGAAGAACGCAGCAAAAUGCGAUAAGUAAUGUGAAUUGCAGAAUUCAGUGAAUCAUCGAAUCUUUGAACGCACAUUGCACCCGCCAGUAUUCUGGCGGGCAUGCCUGUUCGAGCGUCAUUUCAACCCUCAAGCACAGCUUGGUGUUGGGACUCGCGUUAAUUCGCGUUCCCCAAAUUGAUUGGCGGUCACGUCGAGCUUCCAUAGCGUAGUAGUAAAACCCUCGUUACUGGUAAUCGUCGCGGCCACGCCGUUAAACCCCAACUUCUGAAUGUUGACCUCGGAUCAGGUAGGAAUACCCGCUGAACUUAAGCAUAUCAAUAAGCGGAGGA
Molecule: unclassified non-coding RNA, 332 nt
Filed under: soil metagenome
Description: partial contains 5.8S ribosomal RNA, internal transcribed spacer 2, and large subunit ribosomal RNA
Rfam family: 5.8S ribosomal RNA (bases 1-120)
Source: RNAcentral